This 68-nucleotide transfer RNA is filed under the name Marmota monax (woodchuck). RNAcentral describes it as "tRNA.Val". The record is from RNAcentral. Lineage: Eukaryota; Metazoa; Chordata; Mammalia; Rodentia; Sciuridae.
GCUGUAGCUCAGUGGUAGAGCACUUGCCUAACACGUGCAAGGCUCUGGGUUCCACCCCUAGCACUGCA